GCUGGGCAUGGUGACACAUGCCUGUAAUCCUAGUGGCUUGGGAGGCUGAGGCAGGAGGAUCAGCCUCAGCAACUUAGCAAGGCCCUAAGCAACUCAGUGAGAGACCCUGUCUCAA
Molecule: small RNA, 115 nt
Filed under: Marmota monax (woodchuck)
Lineage: Eukaryota; Metazoa; Chordata; Mammalia; Rodentia; Sciuridae
Source: RNAcentral